Molecule: ribosomal RNA, 380 nt
Filed under: Priestia megaterium
Lineage: Bacteria; Bacillati; Bacillota; Bacilli; Caryophanales; Bacillaceae
Description: bacterial SSU rRNA
Rfam family: Bacterial small subunit ribosomal RNA
Source: RNAcentral
UCUUCGGAGAGUUUGAUCCUGGCUCAGGAUGAACGCUGGCGGCGUGCCUAAUACAUGCAAGUCGAGCGAACUGAUUAGAAGCUUGCUUCUAUGACGUUAGCGGCGGACGGGUGAGUAACACGUGGGCAACCUGCCUGUAAGACUGGGAUAACUUCGGGAAACCGAAGCUAAUACCGGAUAGGAUCUUCUCCUUCAUGGGAGAUGAUUGAAAGAUGGUUUCGGCUAUCACUUACAGAUGGGCCCGCGGUGCAUUAGCUAGUUGGUGAGGUAACGGCUCACCAAGGCAACGAUGCAUAGCCGACCUGAGAGGGUGAUCGGCCACACUGGGACUGAGACACGGCCCAGACUCCUACGGGAGGCAGCAGUAGGGAAUCUUCCGC